This 121-nucleotide ribosomal RNA is filed under the name Erinaceus europaeus (western European hedgehog). Lineage: Eukaryota; Metazoa; Chordata; Mammalia; Eulipotyphla; Erinaceidae. The record is from RNAcentral.
GUCUAUGGCCAUAGCACCCUGAACACGCCCCCCAUCUCGUGCAGUCUCGGAAGCUAUGCAGGGUUGGGCCUGAUUAGUACUCGGAUGGGAGCCUAUUGGGGAGCCCAGGAAGGAAUGAUCC